GACGAACGCUGGCGGUAUGCUUAACACAUGCAAGUCGAACGGUCUCUUCGAAGUUAGUGGCGGACGGAUGAGUAACGCUUGAAAAACUGGCUGUGGGUUCGGUACCACCUCUGCAAACUGUGGCUAAUAACGGAUGUGCCUCGGGGAAAAAGAGAAAUUGCCUGAAGACAUGCUCGCGUCUGAUUAGCUAGCAGGUGAGGUUAAGGCUCACCAAGACAGCGAUCAGUAGCUGCUCCGAGAGGAUGAGGAGCCACACUGGGACAGAGACACGGCCCAAACUCCUACGAGAGGCAGCAGUGGGGAAUUAUCCGCAAUGGGCGAAAGACUGACGGAGCAAUACCGCGUGGGGGAAGAAGGCUCUUGGGUUGUAAAACUCUUUUCUUAGAGAAGAACAAAAGGACGGUACCUAAGGAAUCAGCAUCGGCUAACUCCGUG
Molecule: ribosomal RNA, 435 nt
Filed under: uncultured bacterium
Lineage: Bacteria
Description: partial 16S ribosomal RNA
Rfam family: Bacterial small subunit ribosomal RNA
Source: RNAcentral